Molecule: long non-coding RNA, 482 nt
Organism: Homarus americanus (American lobster)
Lineage: Eukaryota; Metazoa; Arthropoda; Malacostraca; Decapoda; Nephropidae
Exons: 3
Source: RefSeq, a predicted model, not a curated record
ACCAAAAGAACUGUCUGACCAGUUGGAAGUUGCCAUCACCAAGGGCAGCACUGUUCUCAUUGAGAACCUCCCAGAGAGCCUUGACCCAGUUCUUGACCUCUAAUAGGCAAAAACCUCAUCAAGCGUGGACGAGCGCUGAAGAUCGGUGAUCGCGAGAUCGAGUACAACCCGACCUUCCAACUGAUCCUCCACACCAAGUUGGCUAAUCCUCACUACAAGCCUGAGCUACAGGCUCAGUGUACCCUCAUCAACUUCACCGUCACCAGGGAUGGACUCGAGGACCAGCUCUGGCCGAGGUGGUCAAGGCUGAGAGACCAGACCUUGAAGAGCUGAAGUACAAUUUGACAAAGCAACAGAACGACUUCAAGAUCCAGUUAAAGCACCUUGAAGACGACCUCCUGAGUCGGUUGUCUUCGGCAGAUGGGAACUUCCUGGGAGACACAGCUUUGGUGGAGAACCCUGGAACACAAAGCCACUGCCCA